AUACGUAGGGGGCUAGCGUUAUCCGGAAUUACUGGGCGUAAAGGGUGCGUAGGUGGUUUCUUAAGUCAGAAGUGAAAGGCUACGGCUCAACCGUAGUAAGCUUUUGAAACUAAGAGACUUGAGUGCAGGAGAGGAGAGUAGAAUUCCUAGUGUAGCGGUGAAAUGCGUAGAUAUUAGGAGGAAUACCAGUUGCGAAGGCGGCUCUCUGGACUGUAACUGACACUGAGGCACGAAAGCGUGGGGAGCAAACAGGAUUAGAUACCCUGGUAGUCCACGCCGUAAACGAUGAGUACUAGCUGUCGGGGGUUACCCCCCUCGGUGGCGCAGCUAACGCAUUAAGUACUCCGCCUGGGAAGUACGCUCGCAAGAGUGAAACUCAAAUGAAUCGGCGGGG
RNAcentral lists this ribosomal RNA (394 nucleotides) under uncultured bacterium. RNAcentral's name for it is "partial 16S ribosomal RNA". It matches the Rfam family "Bacterial small subunit ribosomal RNA", at positions 523 to 918 of the family's 1533-position model. The record is from RNAcentral.